RNAcentral lists this ribosomal RNA (316 nucleotides) under uncultured bacterium. RNAcentral describes it as "bacterial SSU rRNA". It matches the Rfam family "Bacterial small subunit ribosomal RNA", at positions 28 to 334 of the family's 1533-position model. The record is from RNAcentral.
GACGAACGCUGGCGGCGUGCCUAAUACAUGCAAGUAGAACGCUGAGGACUGGUGCUUGCACUGGUCUAAGGAGUUGCGAACGGGUGAGUAACGCGUAGGUAACCUACCUCAUAGCGGGGGAUAACUAUUGGAAACGAUAGCUAAUACCGCAUGACAAUAGGGUACACAUGUACCCUAUUUAAAAGGGGCAAAUGCUUCACUAUGAGAUGGACCUGCGUUGUAUUAGCUAGUUGGUAAGGUAACGGCUUACCAAGGCGACGAUACAUAGCCGAUCUGAGAGGACGGUCCCCCACACUGGUACUGAGACACGGACCAG